GGGCGGUUAGCUCAGCUGGUAGAGCAUCUCGUUUACACCGAGAGGGCCGGCGGUUCGAGCCCGUCACCGCCCACCA
This 76-nucleotide transfer RNA is filed under the name Pseudomonadota bacterium. Its description in RNAcentral is "tRNA-Val". It matches the Rfam family "tRNA". Rfam says of the family: Transfer RNA (tRNA) molecules are approximately 80 nucleotides in length. Their secondary structure includes four short double-helical elements and three loops (D, anti-codon, and T loops). Further hydrogen bonds mediate the characteristic L-shaped molecular structure. tRNAs have two regions of fundamental functional importance: the anti-codon, which is responsible for specific mRNA codon recognition, and the 3' end, to which the tRNAs corresponding amino acid is attached (by aminoacyl-tRNA synthetases). tRNAs cope with the degeneracy of the genetic code in two manners: having more than one tRNA (with a specific anti-codon) for a particular amino acid; and 'wobble' base-pairing, i.e. permitting non-standard base-pairing at the 3rd anti-codon position. RNAcentral also lists the same sequence under 2 other names. Lineage: Bacteria; Pseudomonadati; Pseudomonadota. The record is from RNAcentral.